This 499-nucleotide ribosomal RNA is filed under the name Ophisternon bengalense. Its description in RNAcentral is "partial 16S ribosomal RNA". It matches the Rfam family "Bacterial large subunit ribosomal RNA", at positions 1911 to 2564 of the family's 2925-position model. The record is from RNAcentral. Lineage: Eukaryota; Metazoa; Chordata; Actinopteri; Synbranchiformes; Synbranchidae.
CCUGACUAUAUGUUUAACGGCCACGGUAUCCUAACCGUGCAAAGGUAGCGCAAUCAUUUGUCUCCUAACUAGAGACCUGUAUGAAUGGCAUAACGAGAGCUUAACUGUCUCCUCUUUGAAGUCAAUAAAAUUGAUCUUUCCGUGCAGAAGCGGAAAUAAAAACAUAAGACGAGAAGACCCUGUGGAGCUUCAGACACUAAAGCAGACCACAUAAACCUCCAAAAACUUAAUCCAGUGACCACCUGCCCUAAUGUCUUCGGUUGGGGCGACCAAGGGAAAUUAACCAACCCCCUCGUGGACUAGAACCACCUCUUCCCAAAACCAAGAGCCACAACUCUAACAAAUAGAAUCUCUAACCACCUAAUACAGACCCGGCAACGCCGAUCUACGAACCAAGUUACCCCAGGGAUAACAGCGCAAUCCCCUUUCAGAGCCCAUAUCGACAAGGGGGUUUACGACCUCGAUGUUGGAUCAGGACACCCCAGUGGUGCAACCGCUA